AGAAUCAACGCUGGCGGCGUGCCUAACACAUGCAAGUCGAACGAGAAAGUGGAGCAAUCCAUGAGUAAAGUGGCGACCGGGUGAGUAACACGUGACUAACCUACCUUCGAGUUGGGGAUAACCCCGGGAAACCGGGGCUAAUACCGCAUAACAUCGCAAGAUCAAAGCAGCAAUGCGCUGGAAGAGGGGGUCGCGGCUGAUUAGCUAGUUGGCGGGUAACGCCCACCAAGGCGAAGAUCGGUA
This 243-nucleotide ribosomal RNA is filed under the name uncultured bacterium. RNAcentral's name for it is "partial small subunit ribosomal RNA". It matches the Rfam family "Bacterial small subunit ribosomal RNA", at positions 26 to 285 of the family's 1533-position model. The record is from RNAcentral.